RNAcentral lists this ribosomal RNA (254 nucleotides) under uncultured prokaryote. RNAcentral describes it as "partial 16S ribosomal RNA". It matches the Rfam family "Bacterial small subunit ribosomal RNA", at positions 524 to 777 of the family's 1533-position model. The record is from RNAcentral.
UACGGAGGAUGCAAGCGUUAUCCGGAUUUAUUGGGUUUAAAGGGUGCGCAGGUUGUUUGAUAAGUCAGUGGUGAAAGUCUGUCGCUUAACGGUAGGAUUGCCAUUGAUACUGUUAGACUUGAAUAUGGAUGAGGUAGGAGGAAUGUGUAGUGUAGCGGUGAAAUGCAUAGAUAUUACACAGAACACCGAUUGCGAAGGCAGCUUACUAAUCCAUCAUUGACGCUGAGGCACGAAAGCGUGGGGAUCAAACAGGA